UCGAGAAUUUUUCACAAUGGGCGAAAGCCUGAUGGAGCGACGCCGCGUGGGGGAUGAAUGGCUUCGGCCCGUAAACCCCUGUCAUUCGCGAUCAACCCUUAGUAUUUAAAAGAUGCUAAGCUGAUAGUAGCGGAAGAGGAAGGGACGGCUAACUCUGUGCCAGCAGCCGCGGUAAUACAGAGGUCCCAAGCGUUGUUCGGAUUCACUGGGCGUAAAGGGUGCGUAGGUGGUGACGUAAGUCGGGUGUGAAAUCUCGGAGCUCCACGCCGAAAUGGCAUUGGAAACUGCGUCGCUUGAGGGUCGGAGGGGGGACUGGAAUUCUCGGUGUAGCAGUGAAAUGCGUAGAUAUCGAGAGGAACACCAGUGGCGAAGGCGAGUCCCUGGACGACUCCUGACACUGAGGCACGAAAGCUAGGGGAGCAAACA
This 426-nucleotide ribosomal RNA is filed under the name uncultured prokaryote. Its description in RNAcentral is "bacterial SSU rRNA". It matches the Rfam family "Bacterial small subunit ribosomal RNA", at positions 355 to 774 of the family's 1533-position model. The record is from RNAcentral.